This 446-nucleotide ribosomal RNA is filed under the name uncultured bacterium. Its description in RNAcentral is "bacterial SSU rRNA". It matches the Rfam family "Bacterial small subunit ribosomal RNA", at positions 329 to 792 of the family's 1533-position model. The record is from RNAcentral.
CACCAGACUCCUACGGGAGGCAGCAGUGGGGAAUAUUGCACAAUGGGGGAAACCCUGAUGCAGCGACGCCGCGUGAGCGAUGAAGUAUUUCGGUAUGUAAAGCUCUAUCAGCAGGGAAGAAGAUGACGGUACCUGACUAAGAAGCCCCGGCUAACUACGUGCCAGCAGCCGCGGUAAUACGUAGGGGGCAAGCGUUAUCCGGAUUUACUGGGUGUAAAGGGAGCGUAGACGGCGGCGCCAGCCAGAUGUGAAAGCCCGGGGCUCAACUCCGGGACUGCAUUUGGAACUGUGUGGCUGGAGUGUCGGAGAGGCAGGCGGAAUUCCUAGUGUAGCGGUGAAAUGCGUAGAUAUUAGGAGGAACACCAGUGGCGAAGGCGGCCUGCUGGACGAUGACUGACGUUGAGGCUCGAAAGCGUGGGGAGCAAACAGGAUUAGAUACCCGAGUA